GCCGAGGUACGCAGCGGUUCAUGCGGGAAGAGUCUGGAAAGCAUGACCGGAUCGCCGUCGACCAGGCGUUGCCGAGCUUCAGGUUCGGCAGCGGCCAGGUCGAGGGUGCCGACCUUGAGGUCCCGGAAGGACAACAGCGGAUCACGGCCGCCCAGUGCGGAGAGUUCGUCCCUCCAUUGCUCCACCGCCUCGCCGACGCCAUCACUGUGUCUCACCCUGCCGAGGGUAGUUCAGCUAUCGGCCGAGAGCGACGCGGACAGGCCGUGGACAGGCAAAAGACAGUGGAUCGGGU
This 292-nucleotide unclassified non-coding RNA is filed under the name uncultured fungus. Its description in RNAcentral is "sequence contains ITS1". The record is from RNAcentral. Lineage: Eukaryota; Fungi.